RNAcentral lists this long non-coding RNA (272 nucleotides) under Nicotiana benthamiana. RNAcentral describes it as "long non-coding RNA (NBEN_LNC020017)". The record is from RNAcentral. Lineage: Eukaryota; Viridiplantae; Streptophyta; Magnoliopsida; Solanales; Solanaceae.
UUUGUCCUACAAAAGGUUCCAUCAAAACCCUAGAUAACAAAUUAGCUAUUCAUAAUAGUAUGUAAAUCUGCAAUAUUAAAAGUCAUAACCAACAAUGAAAAAAUAUAACAUUAGAAAGAGGAAGUAAAAACUCGUAGUAGGAUUCCCUGCCUUGCUCCUAUUGUAUCUUUGUUUCCUUCGGUCGAAUCUGUGUUAAAAAUUUGUAUCCUCCCUCAAAAAUACCGUUUUUCCAUGUAUAUAUACCAAGUAGGAUCGGACCCAAAUACUUAUAC